GAUGAACGCUGGCGGCGUGCUUAACACAUGCAAGUCGAGCGAACGGACGAGAAGCUUGCUUCUCUGAUGUUAGCGGCGGACGGGUGAGUAACACGUGGAUACCCUACCUAUAAGACUGGGAUAACUACGGGAAACCGUAGCUAACACCGGAUAAUAUUUUGAACCGCAUGGUUCAACAGAGAAAGACGGUCUUGCUGUCACGUAUAGAUGGAUCCGCGCUGCAUUAGCUAGUUGGUAGGGUAACGGCUUACCAAGGCGACGAUGUAUAGCCGACCUGAGAGGAUGAUCGGCCACACUGGAACUGAGACACGGCCCAGACUCCUACGGGAGGCAGCAGUAGGGAAUCUUCCGCAAUGGGCGAAAGCCUGACGGAGCAACGCCGCGUGUGUGAUGAAGGUCUUCGGGUCGUAAAGCUCUGUUAUUGGGGAAGAACAGAUGUGUAAGUAACUGUGCACAUCUUGACGGUACCUAAUCAGAAAGCCCCGGCUAACUACGUG
This 497-nucleotide ribosomal RNA is filed under the name uncultured bacterium. RNAcentral's name for it is "partial 16S ribosomal RNA". It matches the Rfam family "Bacterial small subunit ribosomal RNA", at positions 28 to 507 of the family's 1533-position model. The record is from RNAcentral.